This 253-nucleotide ribosomal RNA is filed under the name uncultured bacterium. RNAcentral's name for it is "partial 16S ribosomal RNA". It matches the Rfam family "Bacterial small subunit ribosomal RNA", at positions 524 to 776 of the family's 1533-position model. The record is from RNAcentral.
UACGUGGGGGGCAAGCGUUGUUCGGAAUUACUGGGCGUAAAGGGCUCGUAGGCGGCCAACUAAGUCGGAUGUGAAAUCCCCAGGCUUAACCUGGGAACUGCAUCCGAUACUGGAUGGCUUGAAUCCGGGAGAGGGAUGCGGAAUUCCAGGUGUAGCGGUGAAAUGCGUAGAUAUCUGGAGGAACACCGGUGGCGAAGGCGGCAUCCUGGACCGGCAUUGACGCUGAGGAGCGAAAGCCAGGGGAGCAAACGGG